Molecule: ribosomal RNA, 205 nt
Filed under: Clostridioides difficile
Lineage: Bacteria; Bacillati; Bacillota; Clostridia; Peptostreptococcales; Peptostreptococcaceae
Description: partial 23S ribosomal RNA
Rfam family: Bacterial large subunit ribosomal RNA
Source: RNAcentral
GUAAACCCAAGGUUUCCAGGGGAAGGUUCGUCCGCCCUGGGUUAGUCGGGACCUAAGCUGAGGCCGAAAGGCGUAGGGGAUGGACAACAGGUUGAUAUUCCUGUACUACCGAUAACCGUUUGAGAGAUGGGAUGACACAGUAGGAUAAGCUAAGCACACUGUUGGUUAUGUGUGCCCAAGCAUUGAGGCAGUCAAAGUAGGUAAA